AGGAUGUCCGAAUGGGGAAACCCGGCCCGCAAGGGUCAUCCAUACCCGAAUGCAUACGGUAUGGAAGCAAACCCGGAGAACUGAAACAUCUCAGUACCCGGAGGAAAGGAAAGCAACCGCGACUCCGUUAGUAGCGCCGAGCGAAAGCGGAUUAACCAGUAAAUCAACGUGAGUCGUCUGGAAAGACGGACCACAGAGGGUGACAGUCCCGUAACGUUGUGGCUGGUGAGGCCUAGAGUAGGUUCGAGCUCGUGAAACUCGGAUUGAACAUGGGGGGUCCACCCUCCAAGCCUAAGUACUCCUCAACGACCGAUAGUGAACCAGUAAGGCGACUGAAUGAUGAAAAGCACCCCUAUAAGGGGAGUGAAAAGUACCUGAAACCGUAUGCUUACACAGCGGUCGGAGCCCUCUAGGGGGUGACGGCGUGCCUUUUGCAUAAUGAUCCUGCGAGUUACUCUCUACAGCAAGGCUAAGUCGAACCCCGACGGAGCCGAAGGGAAACCGAGUCUUAAAAGGGCGUCGAGUUGUAGGGAGUAGACGCGAAACUGGUUGAUCUACCCAUGGGCAGGUUGAAGGGAGGGUAAAACCUCCUGGAGGACCGAAGCCUUGAACGUUGAAAAGUUCUGGCAUGACCUGUGGGGAGGAGUUAAAGUCUAAUCAUAACCAGAGAUAUCUCGUUCUCUCCGAAAUAGCUUUAGGGCUAGCCUCACGUUACAUCUUGUAGGGGUAGAGCGACUGAUUGGGGCUGGGGGGCUACCCGCCUACCCACCCCAGUCAAACUCCGAAUACUACAAGACUUGUCGUGGGAGUCAGACUACGGGGGAUAAUCUCCGUGGUCAAAAGGGAAACAGCCCAGAUCGCCAGAUAAGGCCCCUAAACAAACCUAAGUUACUAAGGUAGUCAGAGUGCCGUGACAGCCAGGAUGUUGGCUUAGAAGCAGCCACCAUUUAAAAAGUGCGUAACAGCUUACUGGUCGAGGACUUUGGCGCCGAUAAUGAUCGGGAAUAAGGUUUGUGCCGAAUCUGCGAGCGCGCAAGCGCGGUAGGAGAGCGUUGCUGUCAGCGUUGAAGCCAUCCCGGAAGGGUUGGUGGAGCGGCAGCAAGUGAAUAUGCAGGAUUGAGUAACGAUAAACGGAGUGAGAAUCUCCGUCGCCGAAAGCCUAAGGUUUCCUGGGGAAGGUAAUUCCGCCCAGGGUUAGGCGGUACCUAAGGCGAGGCCGAAAGGCGUAGUCGAUGGACAGCAGGUUAAUAUUCCUGCCCUUAUGUGUGCGGUUGAUCCGGCGUGACGGAUCGUGAAGUUCAGCGGGACAGUGAAGCGUCCAGGCCCUCGGGCCGUUGCUGGGUAGAUCGGUCCCAAGAAAAGCCGUCCGGUGACAAUCACAUAAGCCGUACUAAAACUGACACAGGUAGGCGUGGCGAAAAGCCUCAGGCGCUCGAGAUAAUCGUCGUGAAGGAACUAGGCAAAUUGACCCCGUACGUUCGCAAUAAGGGGGCCCUACUCGUAAGAGAGGGCGCAGAGAAAAGGCUCUGGGAACUGUUUAUCAAAAACACAGCACUGUGCUAACUCGCAAGAGCACGUAUACAGUGUGACUCCUGCCCGGUGCCGGAACGUCAAGGGAGCAGGUUAGCCUUCGGGCGAAGCUUGCGACCGAAGCGCCGGUAAACGGCGGCCGUAACUCUGACGGUCCUAAGGUAGCGAAAUUCCUUGGCAGGUAAUUUCUGUCCCGCACGAACGACAUAACGACUGCCCCGCUGUCUCUAACAACACUCCCGUGAAGUUGAAUUAGUUGUGAAGAUGCAACUAUGUAUAGCUAGACGGAAAGACCCUGUACACCUUCACUAAAGUCAAAUUUUUAGUUAUGCUAGAUGUGGAGAGCUCGAUUUAAGUACAUCUUAGCAUGAAAUUGAAAGUAUAGUUAAGGUGCAUAAUACAAAUAAUGUACUAGAGUUUGACAGUUAGUUUGGCUGGGACGGCAACCUUCUAAAAAGUAACGAAGGUUUAUUAAUAAGCCUUACUUAACCUAAGGGUUACUAUAUUAUAAUAAAUGUGUAAGGCUUGAUUAAGGUAGGUACUCCUAUCUUAAGGGUUAACGCCUGUUAUAUUGAACCGAUUUGUUAACCAGGACUACGAAUCGAUCUACGAAUAAAAGGUACGUCAGGGAUAACAGGCUUAUGAAUUUUGAGAGUUCAUAUCAAUAAAUUCGUUUGGCACCUCGAUGUCGACUCACCGCAUCCUGAUAGCGAAUAACCUAUCAAGGGUCCGGCUGUUCGCCGGUUAAAGCGAUACGUGAGUUGGGUUCAGAACGUUGUGAGACAGUUUGGUCCCUAUCUACUAUACACAAUUAACACAAAAAAUAGGAAUUUACUUUAGUACGAGAGGACUAGGAAGAUCUAGCCAAUAGUGUAAGAGUUGUUUUAAUAAAGCACCCCUCUUAAGCCACGCUAGUUAUCGAUAAUUACUUGUAUAUGAGUAAGAAUUGACCCUAUAUAGUUGU
Molecule: ribosomal RNA, 2494 nt
Filed under: seawater metagenome
Description: bacterial LSU rRNA
Rfam family: Bacterial large subunit ribosomal RNA
Source: RNAcentral